RNAcentral lists this non-coding RNA (32 nucleotides) under Rattus norvegicus (Norway rat). The record is from RNAcentral. Lineage: Eukaryota; Metazoa; Chordata; Mammalia; Rodentia; Muridae.
UGUGUGUGAGUUUUAAUUUCUACCACUAAAGU